RNAcentral lists this long non-coding RNA (1407 nucleotides) under Equus caballus (horse). RNAcentral's name for it is "lncRNA (ENSECAG00000048860.1)". Lineage: Eukaryota; Metazoa; Chordata; Mammalia; Perissodactyla; Equidae. The record is from RNAcentral.
UUUUUUUCCUUUUUAAUGGGAGAUAUUACGGCAUGUUUGAUCACUGGCAAAAGCAGUCCAGAAGAGAGGGAAAAUUGCAGGAGAAAGAAAGGAUGUCUCUAGGAGUGAUGGCCUAGAACAACCAAGGGAGAAGGGUGCAGAUUACCCAGGACAAAGGCAGGUGGAUUGAAAGGUGUGCUAGCCCAAGUGUUUAUUCUCUUCUCUUCUGUUUGCAUUGUUUCCUAGGUGAAAUGUGAAGCAAGCUCAUCACCAGAGAGGCCAGUGAGGAUGUUGGAAGGUGGAAAGAUAAGAGCACGUGUGAUAUUGUCAACUAGGAGACAGGGAAGUCUUCUUACAUUGCAUCACUCUAACCUCCUCUUUUCCCUCCUUCUUCCACAUUUAAGGACUCUUGUGAGCACAUUGGUCCACCUGGAUAAUGCAGGUUACUCUCCCCAUCUCAAGGUCUUUAAUCACAUCCACAAAUUCCCUUUUGUCAUGUAAGGUAACAUAUUCAUGGGUUGCAGGGAUUCAGGCAGGGUCCAGCUUUAGCAGGGGCCACUAGUCUCCCUACUAUAGGCAUAAAACAGAUCAAGAAUCAAGCCAGGCUAACUUCUUGCAGUCCACACACAGGCCACCCCUCCAGGUUUGGCAACAUCUCCUCUAAUCACCAGAGUUUUUAACUAAUUCCUCUGUGGUUGGGAGCAGCCGCAGGGGAGAGGGGUGGCAAUUAGAGGUAGGUGGCUAGUGGUCGGGUCAUCAGCAGCUGAGAGUCUAUAGUUUACAAGAACAAAACUACCCCUUUCCAAAUGAUCGCCCUAAGAAUUCCACCCCAGAUGGGACACGGAGUACAGGCGUGCCUCAUUACAAGUAAACGUCACACGAGGAAAGCUGCCCUGACCCACUCAGAUAAUUUGCCAAAGCAAGGAAUCACCACGGCGAAGUCAACCAAGCCUCACCCUGCUGGAACUGCCAGCGGUUUGCACCACUUAAACGUCUCCUAAUGGGCUAAAGCAGUUGCUAAUGGGCUAAUAAGCUGGCCAUUAACAGCUUCUUAAGUAGCAGACUGGGGGAGCCUGUGAUUCUAGUUACAGCCCCUGAGAUUGAGCUGUCGUCUCAGUUUAUAAAAGCCCCUAAAUUGGGGCAAGAACUCUUUCCCCUAAAGGUUGAUUUAUUUGCCUCCAAAUACCAAGGCAGCAAUUGUUCAAGUUACCAAAGAAUUUCUCCCUUCAUGAAAAUAUUCGCUCUGAAGUUCCCUGCCAGGUUCUUCCUUUGGGCAUUUAAAUGUUGGUUUACAGACCCUGAGUUAUUUCCAGAGACACUAAGGAAUAGAGACAUUUUUUAACGGAACUUUAAGACAUACUGUUUAAAAAUCAGUCAGAAAUGAAGAUAGAGCCUCAUGACAAUCGUAAUACAAAUGUCCCCCAGCAU